This 254-nucleotide ribosomal RNA is filed under the name uncultured bacterium. RNAcentral describes it as "partial 16S ribosomal RNA". It matches the Rfam family "Bacterial small subunit ribosomal RNA", at positions 524 to 776 of the family's 1533-position model. The record is from RNAcentral.
UACGAAGGGGGCUAGCGUUGCUCGGAAUCACUGGGCGUAAAGGGUGCGUAGGCGGGUCUUUUAAGUCAGGGGUGAAAUCCUGGAGCUCAACUCCAGAACUGCCUUUGAUACUGAGGAUCUUGAGUACGGGAGAGGUGAGUGGAACUGCGAGUGUAGAGGUGAAAUUCGUAGAUAUUCGCAAGAACACCAGUGGCGAAGGCGGCUCACUGGUCCGAUACUGACGCUGAGGUGCGAAAGCGUGGGGAGCAAACAGG